GGUGAACGCUGGCGGCGUGCUUAACACAUGCAAGUCGAACGCUGAAGCCCUUAGCUUGCUUUGGGUGGAUGAGUGGCGGACGGGUGAGUAACACGUGAGUAACCUGCCCUUAACUUCGGGAUAAGCCUGGGAAACUGGGUCUAAUACCGGAUGUUCACCUUUUACCGCAUGGUGGUUGGUGGAAAGAUUUAUUGGUUUUGGAUGGACUCGCGGCCUAUCAGCUUGUUGGUGAGGUAGUGGCUUACCAAGGCGAUGACGGGUAGCCGGCCUGAGAGGGUGACCGGCCACACUGGGACUGAGACACGGCCCAG
RNAcentral lists this ribosomal RNA (311 nucleotides) under uncultured bacterium. RNAcentral describes it as "bacterial SSU rRNA". It matches the Rfam family "Bacterial small subunit ribosomal RNA", at positions 28 to 334 of the family's 1533-position model. The record is from RNAcentral.